CUUAACCGAAUCAAACAGACUCAGAUGAUGAAAAAAAAAGGCCUAUCCUCCACAAGUGGACUUAGGGGAGACAAGAGCGAUGUAAACGAUAAACCCUGAUUAGAAAUUUUUUAUACAAAGAAGAAGAGAAGAUGAAGAGAUACACUACUCUGAAACGAACGUCGUCGUUUCAAAUUUGUAAGUAUAUAUAUGCUGAAACAACGUUUUGGUUUUCCUUGACUAAAAAUAAUUUAGUAGAGAACUUAAAAGUGGGACAUUCGUGGCAGAAACCUAUUAAACCGGACCGACAAUUUCGGUUUUCCGUUUCCAAUCAGUGAGAGUUUGUAAACCGAUCGGCGAAUUAUAUAUAUAAUCAUCUGUUCUCUUUACACGCCCGUGUAAUCAAAUCAAAUCAAACAAACCAUAUACGACAACUUUUCUUUCAGUUUCUUGUUUGGUCUUUUCUCUUCUUCUUCUUUAGGUUUCUUCUCUUCUUCUUUACGUUUCUUGUUUGGAUCGCCGCCAUUAGAGUUGCCGGAAGUUUCAGAGAUUACAACCAUUGUGACGUUUGUUUGAAGUCAGUCAGCACAACGAAUUGAUUCAAAGCGAGUUCCAGUUGUUAUCCAACAAAUAAAAUGAUCCCUAAACCAUGAUUUCAUAUUUGCUAGAACCACCACUGGGAUCUGUUAUGUUUGUUUGUGAUCACUUGCAGAGGAGGAUAAUUAAUCCAAAAGCCAAGAAACAGUUGCCAAACCAAACCAAGCCUCUUUUAUGGCUUAAGAGUUCUAUAGAAUACUAAAUAUGUAAGAGUAUUGGUACCUUACAUAUCACAUUGUGCAAAAUGGUUACUCUUGAGGCUUAAAAAGUUAACAACGGCAUCCAAGUCAGAAAUCAAGAUGAUUAUGCAGAAUGAUAUCAUAUUGCAGGCAUCAUAUCUAGUUAUGCAAAACUUAAAACUACAUGAGGAGUUUAGCAUUUUAAAUAUGUAGUCGUCAAGAAAAAAAAACAAGACCACAACGGAAAGCAUAUAAAGAAAACUAUGUAGAGCAUCUUAGAACUAAGCGCUAAGAGCUUGGUCACAUAACACGUUCAUGCUAGGAAAUGCCUUUCCUAUGUUUAUUUUAUAAAGUAGCAAUUUGGUUCCUCCUUGUUUUCCAUUUGUGAGUCUUUGUACAGAAAUUCAAGGAACGUGUGGCUUUCAAAAAGUUAUAUCUCAA
Molecule: non-coding RNA, 1196 nt
Organism: Camelina sativa (false flax)
Lineage: Eukaryota; Viridiplantae; Streptophyta; Magnoliopsida; Brassicales; Brassicaceae
Source: RefSeq, a predicted model, not a curated record